RNAcentral lists this transfer RNA (69 nucleotides) under Nomascus gabriellae (Red-cheeked gibbon). RNAcentral describes it as "tRNA-Val". It matches the Rfam family "tRNA". Rfam says of the family: Transfer RNA (tRNA) molecules are approximately 80 nucleotides in length. Their secondary structure includes four short double-helical elements and three loops (D, anti-codon, and T loops). The record is from RNAcentral. Lineage: Eukaryota; Metazoa; Chordata; Mammalia; Primates; Hylobatidae.
CAAGGUGUAGCUUAACAUAAAGCACCCGGCUUACACCUGGGAGAUUUCAAUUAGACUUGACCACCCUGA